CGCUAUCAUCCUACGGGAGGCAGCAGUGGGGAAUAUUGCACAAUGGGCGCAAGCCUGAUGCAGCCAUGCCGCGUGUAUGAAGAAGGCCUUCGGGUUGUAAAGUACUUUCAGUCGUGAGGAAGGUUCAUGCGUUAAUAGCGCAUGGAUUUGACGUUAGCGACAGAAGAAGCACCGGCUAACUCCGUGCCAGCAGCCGCGGUAAUACGGAGGGUGCGAGCGUUAAUCGGAAUUACUGGGCGUAAAGCGCAUGCAGGUGGUUAGUUAAGUCAGAUGUGAAAGCCCGGGGCUCAACCUCGGAAUUGCAUUUGAAACUGGCUGACUAGAGUACUGUAGAGGGGGUAGAAUUUCAGGUGUAGCGGUGAAAUGCGUAGAGAUCUGAAGGAAUACCGGUGGCGAAGGCGACCCCCUGGACAGAUACUGACACUCAGAUGCGAAAGCGUGGGGAGCAAACAGGAUUAGAUACCCUGGUAG
RNAcentral lists this ribosomal RNA (471 nucleotides) under uncultured bacterium. RNAcentral describes it as "bacterial SSU rRNA". It matches the Rfam family "Bacterial small subunit ribosomal RNA", at positions 329 to 793 of the family's 1533-position model. The record is from RNAcentral.